GUUUAUUUUUUGGAUAAAUUCUAUAUCUUAGUAGUUAAUAUUCGUUUUUGUUAGUUUUCUGAUUUAGUUUCUAAUUAAAAAGUUAAAUUUCUUAAGAUAAUGAUUGAUGUUUGCCCUAAUCUUAAAGCUAUAUAUAUUGUUGAUCGGUGAGAAUUAGGUAUUAUUUUUUCUGUGCCCAUUAGAUAGUUUUCACCGUUAUGAUUUUUUUAUACAGCUACGAUUCUGAUGAAUCAAAUUGUUUGUCAUGCAAAUACUGUUUUCAUUUACCUUUAGACGUCGUGUGCAUAUUGUUUGUUGUUUGUUUUAUUUUUUGCAUUAAUUCGUUGAUUUAUUGUUUUGCUGAUUUGAUUCUUUUGAUAUGUGUUUCAGUUUUGUAGAACGUGGGAGGUUCCAUCGACAAAGCUUUCGGACGAAGAUGGUUUUGACGAGAACAGAACGAGGUUUGGAAAGGUUACAAUGAGAUGUGGGCAUACGAUCAUCAAAGCGUGUUUGUUUCAUCGUACAAAAACUCACGAAAAAACAGAGGUUGCUCGCUCUAAUGUCAUUAUCGUGCAAGUUAUCGUCUCCGGUGGCUCUCUAAAUCGAGAUCGAUGUCGAGAUUGCAAAGCUUGCCAUGGAUGGAAGAUGAGCUUUCGGGAGUGUGUUGAAGUAUAGAAGAAAAGCUUCAAACUUGCAAGUGAUGGCUUCAGGAAAGACACCUGGACUGACUCAGGAAGCUAAUGGGGUUGCAAUUAAUAGACAAAAUGACAAUGAUGUAUUUGACGACAUGAAACAGCGGUUCCUCGCCUUCAAGUAGCAUAAGUACUUUUGCUUUUGCUUUUUCAAUGGUUUAUAAAUUACUUCAAGAAGCGUAAGUAGCAGAACCAAUUUCUUCAGUCUUUUGCUUUUUCAAUGGUUUAUAAAUUACUUUUUGCCUUUCUGUUUCUCCCCACCUUAUGAUAUACUCUUGAGCAGGGAUAACUUAGAACACUACAAAAAUUUGGCAGAUGCUCAAGCUCCGAAGUUUCUGGUGAUCGCUUGUGCAGACUCUAGGGUUUGUCCUUCUACUGUCCUGGGAUUCCAACCGGGUGAUGCAUUCACUGUUCGCAACAUUGCAAAUUUAGUACCUUCAUAUGAGCGUGAAAGAAAGAAUCCUCAUGACCUAAAUGGUGUCUAUAUAUUUAAUGUUCAAGAAAGAAAGUGUAUUGACCGUCCAAUAGCAAGAAAUUCAAUAUCAUAGAAGCCAGAUUAAGAUAAAUGCUUCGACUCUUGGAAGUAUGCAAACACUUGAUGUUGGAUGCAGGACUACGUUUUAUGUUUUCUACACAUAUAUGGCAGAAUAUAUUGGGUUCAAGUUUUCAAACAUAGAACCGAGAAAUCAGAAAAGCAAAACUUUUAUAUUUUAAAGCCGAAUUUCAUAUUCAUCGUCCUCUACUACAUGAGCAGUGUUGGUAAUGUUUAGAUUUCAUGUUGUACUUAUGAAUUGGUGCAGGAUUUGGAUGAACUGAAUAGUGGUAGAGAGAUGGUUUACGAGAGAAUCCAAACUCACUUAACUUGAUCGAAGUCAUAUCAAGAUACUGAAUGUGGUGCUGUUAAUGCUUCUAAUGGCCCCAUUAAUACACAUGUCUAUGGUGGAGGAUGGGCAAACUUGGAUUAUAAUCAUCACUACUCAUUUGCGCCUUGCAACUUCUUGCAUAGACCAAAGCCUAUGUUUGGUCUGGAAGGUCGUCAAGAAGAAGAAGAAUGUGGUGUCAAUGCUUAUCUGGAACAUCGACGUAGGCUUCCUCUCUUCCCUAUGCACGGUGAAGACCACCUCAACGGUGAUAGCGGUGCUAUCUGGAAGUAUGGCCAAUCGAACGAUCGUGAUUGUUUUAGUAGAGACUCUUGUGCUUCUCUUGAGCUACGUAUGAACUAGACACCGUUAUACACAUACAAAGACUUAUUUGGAGAAGACAUCUUCGCUAAUACGUGUACGAAUAUGAACUUUGGUUGGUAUUCAAGUAAGGCAUCUCUUUUUUUGGUAUGGAGUAAAGCAACUCUUUUAGUUGUGUGCAUUGUUUUACUUUUUUUUUAAGAGUUGUGCGAUAUUUUAAUAAAUAGUUUAUUGUCCAUUAUAAAACGGAGUCCGUAUAACUUUUUGUGA
Molecule: long non-coding RNA, 2122 nt
Organism: Arabidopsis lyrata subsp. lyrata
Lineage: Eukaryota; Viridiplantae; Streptophyta; Magnoliopsida; Brassicales; Brassicaceae
Exons: 10
Source: RefSeq, a predicted model, not a curated record